GAUGAACGCUAGCUACAGGCUUAACACAUGCAAGUCGAGGGGUAGCAGGGUAGCAAUACCGCUGACGACCGGCGCACGGGUGAGUAACACGUAUCCAACCUUCCCAUAACUCGGGGAUAGCCUUUCGAAAGAAAGAUUAAUACCGGAUGGUACUUACUCCAGGCAUCUUGAGUAAGUUAACGAUCUAUUGGUUAUGGAUGGGGAUGCGUUCCAUUAGAUAGUUGGUGAGGUAAAGGCUCACCAAGUCUUCGAUGGAUAGGGGUUCUGAGAGGAAGGUCCCCCACAUUGGUACUGAGACAAGGACCAAAAUCCUACGGGAGGCAGCAGUGAGGAAUAUUGGUCAAUGGGCGAGAGCCUGAACCAGCCAAGUAGCGUGAAGGAUGAAGGUCCUAUGGAUUGUAAACUUCUUUUAUAGUAGAAUAAAGUGAUCCACGUGAGGAUUUUUGUAUGUAUACUAUGAAUAAGGAUCGGCUAACUCCGUGCCAGCAGCCGCGGUAA
This 498-nucleotide ribosomal RNA is filed under the name uncultured bacterium. RNAcentral describes it as "partial 16S ribosomal RNA". It matches the Rfam family "Bacterial small subunit ribosomal RNA", at positions 28 to 523 of the family's 1533-position model. The record is from RNAcentral.